CAAUAGCGUAUAUUAAAGUUGUUGCAGUUAAAAAGCUCGUAGUUGGAUUUCUGGUUGAAGCGACCGGUCGGGCGUUGAUUCGUCUGCACUGGAGUCGGUUUUGGCCAUCCUCUAGGAAAGUGCGUCUGGUAUUAAGUUAUCGGGCGUAUGAUCCUGGUCUUUUACUGUGAAAAAAUUAGAGUGUUUAAAGCAGGCCUUCGCCUUGAAUACAUUAGCAUGGAAUAAUAAGAUAGGACUUUGGUCUAUUUUGUUGGUUUGCAGACCGAAGCAAUGAUUAAUAGGGAUAGUUGGGGGUAUUUAUAUUCCGAUGUCAGAGGUGAAAUUCUUAGAUUUUCGGAAGAUAAACUUAUGCGAAAGCAUUUACCAAGGAUGUUUNCAUUAA
Molecule: ribosomal RNA, 382 nt
Filed under: uncultured eukaryote
Lineage: Eukaryota
Description: partial 18S ribosomal RNA
Rfam family: Eukaryotic small subunit ribosomal RNA
Source: RNAcentral